RNAcentral lists this ribosomal RNA (497 nucleotides) under uncultured bacterium. RNAcentral describes it as "partial 16S ribosomal RNA". It matches the Rfam family "Bacterial small subunit ribosomal RNA", at positions 28 to 507 of the family's 1533-position model. The record is from RNAcentral.
GAUGAACGCUGGCGGCGUGCCUAAUACAUGCAAGUCGAGCGAACAGACGAGGAGCUUGCUCCUCUGACGUUAGCGGCGGACGGGUGAGUAACACGUGGAUAACCUACCUAUAAGACUGGGAUAACUUCGGGAAACCGGAGCUAAUACCGGAUAAUAUAUUGAACCGCAUGGUUCAAUAGUGAAAGACGGUUUUGCUGUCACUUAUAGAUGGAUCCGCGCCGCAUUAGCUAGUUGGUAAGGUAACGGCUUACCAAGGCAACGAUGCGUAGCCGACCUGAGAGGGGGAUAGGCAACAGUGGAAGUGAGACACGGUCAAGACGAGUACGGGAGGGAGCAGUAGGGAAUCUGAGGCAAUGGUCGGAAGUAUGACGCAGCGAGACGGAGUGAGUGAUGAAGGUGUAGGGAUCGGAAAGAUCGGGUAUGGGGUAAGAACAAAUGUGGAAGGAAACAGGGCGGUAUUGACGGUAACUAAUAAAAAAGCAACGGCUAACUACGUG